Molecule: long non-coding RNA, 1927 nt
Organism: Piliocolobus tephrosceles (Ugandan red Colobus)
Lineage: Eukaryota; Metazoa; Chordata; Mammalia; Primates; Cercopithecidae
Exons: 2
Source: RefSeq, a predicted model, not a curated record
AUGGCUUGGAAUUGCUGCAGCAGCUGCGGUUCUGCUGUGUCAUGCAAGAAGGAGGCGGCGGCGGCCGGAGCUGGAGGGGGAGGAGGGGAGGAACCUGAUCCUCCGGUAGCGAAGGGCUGGAGGCAAACACCGAGCUCCUCCAAAGCCGCCCGGGAGCAGGGAGGGCUCCGCUACCCCGGGGGGAGGCCCUCCCCGCGGGGCAGAUGUUCCUUUGACCAGAGUACCUCAUUCGGCUUAAAGAAGAAAGAAAACUGUGUGUGACAUUCCCUCCCAGCCUACCUGCGGCCAGACUCCUCACCACACAAACUGCCCACCCCGCUCCUCUCCUCAUCUUCAGAGCCAUGAUUCCGAGAGACAUUGCAAUACUACUCACGUUGGGUGAGAAGACUGCCUGAAACUCUAAACAAUUUCACCUCCCUUGCCCUUUGCCACGGGAAUUCAGAACCUACGACUGAGAGCAGGGAAGUAUACGGACAGGCUGGGCAUGUAGGAACAUUACUGCCUUCACUGGACUGUAGUUCUCCAGACAACUUUUUAAUUGUGAUUAUUCCCUUCCAUUGCACUCCUGGAAAUUUCAAAGCACUUUCUAAAACAUCAUUUUUUUAAUGUCAGUCAUACAUUUAGAGGUAAGGGGUUGAUGGGAUUAACUGAAAGGCUAAUGACUGUCUCAAAAGCACAUGCUGUUGCUAGGGAACCCAAGCUCCUGCUGCUCUCUAAUCACCAGCAUGUUCCAUGGAAAUCAAACUGCUCAGGGUGUUAUUAAAAUGAAUGGCAUCGGGUUAAAUGCGUUCUUGCUUAUGUUGUAGCAUCCUGGAUUAUCGAUUGCCUCACACCCACAUAUCUUGUUUUCCUAAUUUGAUUUCUGUAUUUGCGUCACUGCCAGGGACACUCAGACUAGACCAGUCAGUUCACUUCCUGUUUCUCAGAACUGGUUUAUAUUUGGUCUCGUAGCACUAGCUGGUAAAACAUUAUCAAACUGAUCCUCUUGGAAAGAAAUCUUUGCUUCCCGUUGAAAACAAAUUAUUCCAAUUAAAUUCUAAUUCCCGUGGAAAACGUCAUCAUUUGAGGAGUAGACUGCCAGUUGCCAUUUGAGAAACCAUCCUUGAAAUGUAAAGCCUAGAAAAAAAAAAAUCUCAAUUUCUUUUACCCAAAAUCUUCAUUCCUCAGCACUAGAACUAAGACACACUCGAGUAAAGAGUAGAUUUAAGUAUACUUCUAAAAUGAAAUGCAUAAAUUAAUAAAUAAAUAAAUAAAUACACGUUGAAGCUGGGGAAAUCAUUUAGACUAAAUAAGGCAUAGAAUUGAAUGGAAUCCAGGCCCAGGAAGGACAAGUAAGCUUGGGUUAGCAUUGUGGCAUUCAGAGAACACAGUGUGAUUACAAGGCUGUACUACAAAUAGGAAACCCCAUCACUUUGUGUACUAAUUGUCUCUUUUACCAAUUCCCCUACGUCCCUGGACAAGACAACCUUGUUUUGUUUUGUUUUCAGUUCCUUCCUCUUUAUAACAAGGAUAUUGCAAAGGCAAUAUCAGAAAGAUAAGCCCUAUGUAAAUAGGUGGAUUCUGAUGUAGAUAAUUUGUUUAGAUGGAAAAUAAAGCCCUUUGAAAAAGAUGUAUAAUGGCAUCAAUAGCCUGGAUGACCUUGAGUGAGCCAUCAUAGGUCUUAUGUCAGUUUCUUUGUGGAAGCUUAAAUGAAAGUGCUGGACUAAAGUAUUUCUAAGGCUCCUCCCAUUUACAAACUUCUGUGAUGAGAUUGAACUCACUACAUAAAAAUUUCAAUUUUAGCUGGAUUUUGCAAUGUUAAAUUUUAGCACUGAACCUUUAGUACCUAUCCAUAGGAACCUUGAGGGAAAUGAUGGGAAAUGAUUUUCUAUUGAUGUAUCCAUUUUUAGUGUCUGUUGACAGAAAAAUAAAAUUUACCUUACUCCCC